CCUACGGGAGGCAGCAGUGGGGAAUAUUGGACAAUGGGCGCAAGCCUGAUCCAGCAACGCCGCGUGGAGGAUGAAGGUCUUCGGAUCGUAAACUCCUGUCAGACGGGACGAAGGUCUGGGGGUGAAUAAUCUCCAGGCUUGACGGUACUGUCAGAGGAAGCCCCGGCUAACUCCGUGCCAGCAGCCGCGGUAAUACGGAGGGGGCGAGCGUUAUUCGGAAUUAUUGGGCGUAAAGGGCGCGUAGGCGGUUCGAUAAGUCAAAGGUGAAAUCCCUCGGCUCAACUGAGGAACUGCCUUUGAAACUGUCGAGCUUGAGUCCGGGAGGGGGUAGCGGAAUUCCCAGUGUAGCGGUGAAAUGCGUAGAUAUUGGGAGGAACACCGGUGGCGAAGGCGGCUACCUGGACCGGAACUGACGCUGAUGCGCGAAAGCGUGGGUAGCA
This 440-nucleotide ribosomal RNA is filed under the name uncultured bacterium. RNAcentral describes it as "bacterial SSU rRNA". It matches the Rfam family "Bacterial small subunit ribosomal RNA", at positions 338 to 770 of the family's 1533-position model. The record is from RNAcentral.